GUUUUGUAGCAAUAUUCUCUUAAUUGUUUUGUGUAUCUCUUUUAUUCAUUCCCUAGUAAAUUCUAUGAUCACGGUAAAUCUUCAUAUUUCCGAGGGGGAGGAAUAAUGGAGAGGCGAUGCUUAUACAGAUCUCAGUCUUUCCUUGUUGCUGAGUUCCAUUGUGGGGCCGCCUCGCUUUGUGGGAUUGUUGAGAACCCAAGACUUCUCUGCCUCCUCAGUGUAUCGCUGGUGACACUGAACUUCACAUUGCUGCAGAUAAUCCUUUCCACUUGGGAAGAUCACCUGAGCAUUCUCCCCUGGACUCAGCUGCCUCUGUCUUUCAUAACUCCCCUACACAUUCCCCAACUGACCAGUGUCGACCCAAGUAGGUAGGAACAACUCUACGUCCCUAUUCAGCAGGAAGAAGUUACAGAAGAUGAGACCUUCCACCUUCAACAACCUUAAAGAUUUAAGGAUCGAAAUUGCUCAGGGGGAAAUGUGGAGGCCGAGAAAAUUAAGGCCAUCCCACCUCAAGUUUAGCUGAUGUGGGAAACAGAGGCAGAAGAAACUCAUUAAAAUUCCUUACCUACUGACAAGCCCUUGAAAGAGACAGAGUGGCUCUCCCCUGGAGACUUAACUGCUCUCACCUUGAGGUUUUGCUAAGGACAAUCCUAGCAUGACUGCCCCCACCCCCCACCCCAACAGGUCCAACCAGGAUCCUGUAAGUCUACUUUAACAAUUCCUUUAGGAAACUUUAUCUCUAAACCUCCAAGAUAUUGUCGAGAAUCAUUCCCAAACAUAUGGUCCACUGAUAUACAUCUAAAGGGUCUCAGGAGAAGAUUUUUAUUACUGGGAAUAAACUUUCUCCCAACAAUAGUUAGCCCCUCAAGGUCCUGGAGACCUUGCUUCUAAAAUUCCUUAGAGACUUACAUCAUCCAUAAUCCCCUUUGUCCUCACCUACCGCCCAGACCACCCCUACUCUGCCUUUAAAAACUCUGACUGUAAUCUGGUUCAGGGUCCAAGUCCCUACUCUGCUGUGUCGGGUACACUUGGGCCCAAGCUUAAGCUUGUCAAAUAAACCCUCGUGUAAUUGC
This 1073-nucleotide long non-coding RNA is filed under the name Mustela putorius furo (domestic ferret). RNAcentral describes it as "lncRNA (ENSMPUG00000029027.1)". The record is from RNAcentral. Lineage: Eukaryota; Metazoa; Chordata; Mammalia; Carnivora; Mustelidae.